This 469-nucleotide ribosomal RNA is filed under the name uncultured bacterium. RNAcentral describes it as "SSU rRNA". It matches the Rfam family "Bacterial small subunit ribosomal RNA", at positions 26 to 518 of the family's 1533-position model. The record is from RNAcentral.
AGGAUAAACGCUGGCGGCGUGCAUGAGACAUGCAAGUCGAACGGACGAUCAGGGCUUGCUCUGAUCGUUAGUGGCGGACGGCUGAGUAACGCGUAGGUGACCUGCCCCGAAGUGGGGAAUAACUGCCCGAAAGGGUGGCUAAUACCGCAUGUGGUGGUGUGUUCAUUCACACCAGUAAAGCCGCAAGGCGCUUCGGGAGGGGCCUGCGUCCGAUUAGCUCGUUGGUGGGGUAACGGCUCACCAAGGCGACGAUCGGUAGGUGGUCUGAGAGGACGAUCACCCAGACUGGGACUGAGACACGGCCCAGACUCCUACGGGAGGCAGCAGUCGGGAAUUUUGCGCAAUGGACGAAAGUCUGACGCAGCAACGCCGCGUGAGGAUGAAGGCCUUCGGUUGUAACCUCUUUUAUCAGGAAGAUAAUGACGGUACCUGAUGAAUAAGUCACGGCUAACUACGUGCCAGCAGCCGC